ACAGCCCAGACCACCAGCUAAGGUCCCAAAAUAUAUGUUAAGUGGAAAAGGAUGUGGCGUUGCCCAGACAACUAGGAUGUUGGCUUAGAAGCAGCCAUCAUUUAAAGAGUGCGUAAUAGCUCACUAGUCGAGUGACACUGCGCCGAAAAUGUACCGGGGCUAAACAUAUUACCGAAGCUGUGGAUUGUCCUUUGGACAAUGGUAGGAGAGCGUUCUAAGGGCGUUGAAGCAUGAUCGUAAGGACAUGUGGAGCGCUUAGAAGUGAGAAUGCCGGUGUGAGUAGCGAAAGACGGGUGAGAAUCCCGUCCACCGAUUGACUAAGGUUUCCAGAGGAAGGCUCGUCCGCUCUGGGUUAGUCGGGUCCUAAGCUGAGGCCGACAGGCGUAGGCGAUGGAUAACAGGUUGAUAUUCCUGUACCACCUAUAAUCGUUUUAAUCGAUGGGGGGACGCAGUAGGAUAGGCGAAGCGUGCGAUUGGAUUGCACGUCUAAGCAGUAAGGCUGAGUAUUAGGCAAAUCCGGUACUCGUUAAGGCUGAGC
This 538-nucleotide ribosomal RNA is filed under the name Staphylococcus aureus. Its description in RNAcentral is "partial 23S ribosomal RNA". It matches the Rfam family "Bacterial large subunit ribosomal RNA", at positions 1022 to 1561 of the family's 2925-position model. Lineage: Bacteria; Bacillati; Bacillota; Bacilli; Caryophanales; Staphylococcaceae. The record is from RNAcentral.